RNAcentral lists this small nucleolar RNA (94 nucleotides) under Sorex araneus (European shrew). RNAcentral describes it as "Small nucleolar RNA SNORA9 (ENSSARG00000018593.1)". Lineage: Eukaryota; Metazoa; Chordata; Mammalia; Eulipotyphla; Soricidae. The record is from RNAcentral.
AUGCCCCCUUACAGUGCUUGCAAGAACAUUAUGAAAUGGUUUGAGGCCUUGCCCUGCUCCAUCCAGAGCAAGGUUCUAGAAAUUUCAGACAUGA